AUUGAACGCUGGCGGCAGGCCUAACACAUGCAAGUCGAACGGUAACAGGAAGCAGCUUGCUGCUUUACUGACGAGUGGCGGGCGGGUGAGUAAUGUCUGGGAAACUGCCUGAUGGAGGGGGAUAACUAGUGGAAACGGUAGCUAAUACCGCAUAACGUCGCAAGACCAAAGAGGGGGACCUUCGGGCCGCUUGCCAUCGGCUGAGCCAAGAUCGGAUUAGCUAGUAGGUGGGGUAACGGCUCACCAAGGCGACGAUCCCUAGCUGGUCUGAGAGGAUGACCAGCCACACUGGAACUGAGACACGGUCCAGACUCCUACGGGAGGCAGCAGUGGGGAAUAUUGCACAAUGGGCGCAAGCCUGAUGCAGCCAUGCCGCGUGUAUGAAGAAGGCCUUCGGGUUGUAAAGUACUUUCAGCGGGGAGGAAGAGAGUAAAGCUAAUACCUUUGCUCAUUGACGUUACCCGCAGAAGAAGCACCGGCUAACUCCGUG
This 490-nucleotide ribosomal RNA is filed under the name uncultured bacterium. RNAcentral's name for it is "partial 16S ribosomal RNA". It matches the Rfam family "Bacterial small subunit ribosomal RNA", at positions 30 to 507 of the family's 1533-position model. The record is from RNAcentral.